Molecule: long non-coding RNA, 4627 nt
Filed under: Octopus vulgaris (common octopus)
Lineage: Eukaryota; Metazoa; Mollusca; Cephalopoda; Octopoda; Octopodidae
Source: RNAcentral
ACAUACAUACAUACAUACAUACAUACAUACAUACGUACGUUAACACAGCCCCCCACACACAUGCUUUCACAUAGCCUUCUGACCAGAGGCUGAAUUUAUUAAGGCCGGCAAAAGCAUUAUUAGGAACGUCGCGCUCUUUAGUACUAGAGGGAGACCAAGAUGGCAUUUUACAAGCACACUGAUAGUGUACAAGGUUAGCCAAUAGGAAAUGGAAUGUAAAACCUCACAGGCGUGGCUCACGGGCGCGGCUGACAGGCGUGGCACUUGGGCGGGUGGCUGCUGCUAUAGUCUCGGACCGACUACAGUCUCGUGAAUGCAUUUGGGAGACAGAAACUAAAAGAAGUUCGUCGUAUAUAUGCGUGUGUGUGUGUGUGUGUGUUAGUGUGUGUGUGUUAGUGUGUGUGUGUGUAUGUGCGUGUCACUUUGUGUCUGUGUUUGUUCCUCACCGCCACUUCAUGACCGGUUAUGGUUUGUUUACGUCUGUUCUUGGACACACUGUGAUUUGACAGACAGAAGACAAUUCCUCGUAGGGUACGAUCUCUGUCAGGCAAUGGUCUGCCAUUCAAGGGACAUGCCCCGCCCAGCGUAGCUGUGUCGUCAUGAUUCUUAUGAUUUACAGACCACAUUGGCAACACAGAUCACAAAUUUGAGGUCUGCACGAACGACUUAGAAAGGAAGUACAGAUGGGGACCCUGUUACUGAAACCCGAUCACGUGCCUUCCAACCAAGUGUGCAAAGUGUCGGACGAGCGGAUUUGGGAACAAAUGAAACGGUAAUGACAGAGGCGGCGAGCUGGCAGAAACGUUAGCAUGCCGGGCGAAAUGCUUUGCGGUAUUUCGUCUGCCGUUACGUUCUGAGUUCAAAUUCCGCCGAGGUCGACUUUGCCCUUCAUCCUUUCGGGGUCGAUAAAUUAAAGUACCAGUUACGCACUGGGGUCGAUGUAAUCGACUUAAUACCUAUGUCUGUCCUUGUUUGUCCCCUCUGUGUGUAGCCCCUUGUGGGUAGUAAAGAAAUAGGUAUUUCGUCUGCUGUUAUCUUCUGAGUUCAGAUUCCGCCGAGGUCGACUUUGCCUUUCAUCCUUUCGGGGUCGAUAAAUUAAAGUACCAGUUACGCACUGGGGUCGAUGUAAUCGACUUAAUACCUAUGUCUGUCCUUGUUUGUCCCUUCUGUGUUUAGCCCCUUGUGGGUAAUAAAGAAAUAGGUAAUGACAAAGCAAUCGUCAACAGGCAGCAGCGAAACGUUCUUAAGGGGCCGAAUGGACGAGAGUCAAGAAUAUUCAGUAAGGAAAUAUCACUAGAAAGAAAUAGACGGGAGCGGAAGAUGGUGAAAAAUAUGUAAGAAACGAUUAGAGGAAGCAUCUUACUUGACAUGUUGACGCUGAUAUCGGCUCUAUACAAAUUCUUCAACGCAAAACAUAACGGUUACAUUGACAGAACAAAGGUAAAUGAUUUAGGAAUGGCUGUGUGGUAAGUAGCUUGCUUAUCAACCACAUGGUUCCUGGUUCAGUCCAACUGCGUGGCAUUUUGGGCAAGUGUCUUCUACUAUAGCCUCGGGCCGACCAAAGCCUUGUGAGUGGAUUUGGUAGACGGAAACUGAAAGAAGCCCGUCGUAUAUAUGUAUAUAUAUAUAUAUAGGCACAGGAGUGGCUGUGUGGUAAGUAGCUUGCUUACCAACCACAUGGUUCCGGGUUCAGUCUCACUGCGUGGCAUUUUGGGCAAGUGUCUUCUACUAUAGCCUCGGGCCGACCAAAGCCUUGUGAGUGGAUUUGGUAGACGGAAACUGUGAGAAGCACGUCGUAUAUAUGUAUAUAUAUAUAUGUGUGUGUAUGUGUGCGUGUAUGUUUGUGUCUGUGUUUGUCCCCCCCCCAACAUCGCUUGACAACCGAUGCUGGUGUAUUUACGUCUCCGUAACUUAGCAGUUCGGUAAAAGUGACCGAUAGAAUAAGUACUAGGCUUAGAAGCAAUAAGUCCUGGGAUCGAUUUGCUCGACUAAAGGCGUUGCUCCAGCAUGGCUGCAGUCAAAUGACUGAAACAAGUAAAAGAGUAAAAGAGUAUACAAAAGUUUUUUAAUGAACUCGGUGAGUAGGGUCUAAAUGUGGUGGAAUCAACGCCGCAGUUUGCCUUCAAUCUCAGACAGAUGUGUACGACUUUAUUGCGGCACUUUGCUCAGCCAAAAGGAACAUUUUAAAUCACCUUUUGCAGAUACAUUUUACCAAAUCGUUUCUGACGGGACUGUAGACCUGGGUCAAGCAAUGACCAAAACCGGAUACCUAGUAUUUGCUAUUUAUAGGGCAAAGCAAUCGAUAAAGCCUCCAUAGGCGCAGGAGUGGCUGUAUGGUAAGUAGCUUGUUUACCAACCACAGGGUUCCAGGUUCAGUCCCACUGCGUGGCACCUUGGGCAAGUGUCUUCUACUAUAGCCUCGGGCCGUCCAAAGCCUUGUGAGUGGAUUUGGUAGACGGAAACUAAAAGAAACCCGUCGUAUAUAUAUAUAUAUAUAUAUAUAUAUAUAUAUAUAUGUGUGUGUGUGUGUGUGUGUGUGUGUGUGUGUGUGUGUGUGUGCGUGCGUGUAUGUUUGUGUGUCUGUGUUUGUCCCCCUAGCAUUGCUUGACAACCGAUGCUGGUGUGUUUAUGUCCCAGUCACUUAGCGGUUCGGCAAAUAGAGACCGAUAGAAUAAGUACUGGGCUUACAAAGAAUAGGUCCCGGGGUCGAGUUGCUCGAUUAAAGGCGGUGCUCCAAGUAAAAAAGAGCAAGAGUAAAGAGUAUAUAAUUAUUCUUCUAUAGGGGACCAGUGUUGGGGAGCGGCGACAACGUUCCCCAAGAAACUCUCCGCACCGUCGAGAAUCGAUUGUCUGAGAAUUGCUGGAAGAAUCUCAACGCGGCGAUUGAGAAGAAUUUCCAGAAAUCCUUGGCCUGACAAUGCAACCGGAGAACAAAAGCAUGCGGCCCGCCAUAGGUUUUCAUGCGGCCCGCCGAGAGGAAUAUUUCACAAAAUUUCCUUUCAAUCAAUUGUGUGUUUAUAGGUCUAUAACCGCCUUUAAAAAUAUUUUCACUUGAUUUUUAUAAAUGAGGCCCGCCAAGGUUCCAAAGACGCACUGUGCGGCCCGCGAUCAAAAAAGUUCGCCCACCCCUGGUUUAGUCCAUAUAAAAAAUUGCAAAACAAAGUAUCUUGGCUAUAACGACAGUUGUUGUGCAAUAAUAAUCAUAAUAAUAAUAAUAAUAAUAAUAAUAAUAAUAAUAAUAAUAAAAUAUUUGUUGUGCAAGAUUUUUUUUAUAUGAAGUCGUGUGUUGAAACAGAUAUUGUUAUAUUUCGGAAUGGUCAUUUUGCCAGUGUGACGAAAGAACUCUGGCCGAAAUAAGAUUAAGAUUAACGUAAAAAAAUAAAUAACACUGAAGCAAAAUAACACCAAAUAUAUAGUGCGUGUAUUUUUAUUGGCUAAACUGGUAAAUUGACCAUUCUGAAAUAUAACAAUAAAUAAUAAUAAUAAUAAUAAUAAUAAUAAUAAUAAUAAUAAUAAUAAUAAUAAUAAUAAUAAUAAUAAUAAUAAUAAUAAUAAUAAUAAUAAUGAACCUUUUUGCUGGAAGCACAAUGCCUCAGAUUUGGAGGAAGGGAUUAAGUUGAUUACAUCGACCCCUGUGCGUCACUGGUACUUAUUUAAUCGACCCAGAAAGGUUGAAAGCAAAGUCGACCCCGGCGGAAUUUGAAUGUAGUGGCAGACGAAGUACCGAUAAGCGUUUCGACCGACGUGCUAACGAUUCUGUCAGCUCGCCACCUUAGAUAAUAAUGAUAAUAAUGAUGAUAAUAAUAAUAAUAAUAAUAAUAAUAAUAAUAAUAAUAAUAAUAAUAAUAAUAAUAAUAAUAAUAAUAAUCCUUCUCUACUAUAGACAGAAAUCCUGAUUUUUUUUGUGGGGAGGGGUCAGUUGAUUAUCCCAAUACUCAACUUGUGAUUUAUCGACCGUAAAAAGUUGUAAGCCUAAGUCGACCUGGGCAAAAUUUGAACUCAUAAAGAAAGGAGCCGGAAUAAAUGCCACUAAACAUUUUGUCUGACCUGUUAACCAUUCUGCUAGCUUGUCGUUUAAUUAUGAUAACAACAACAACAACAACAACAGCAACAACAACAACAACAACAACAACAAUAGCAACAACAAUAAUAAUAAUAAUAGUAAUUAUAAGACACGAAAAUUACACAGAAUUUAAGAAAAGUGUCUGGUAAAAAUAAACAAAGCUUAAAACAAGAUAUUUAUAUAAAAUAACUAGCAGUGUAGCCCGGCGUUGCUCAGGUUUGUUUUCUUUUCGACCCAUUUUUGAAAAGUAAAAAUUUUGCAUUAUGCAGCUUGUUAUUCUCUUUAAGUGAACAUUUUUCUGGUUGAAAUAUAGCGAAAAAUGGCGACACAGCAGUCCAAAAAUCGUAAAAAAUAGGGAUUUUCAUAGAAAAAAAAAGUACCUUUUUGAUGCAAAUAAUUUUUGGUGUUAACAUGGUUCGAUUUGAAUUUUUCUUCUACGGAAUAAAGAACAAGCCUUCUGCUAUCAUACUCUCAAUUUUGGUCAACUUGCGCCGCAGAGUCUCGGAGAAGAUAAUGUUAGUUAAAGGCUACCAAACCUGCCAUACACAGACAACUUCAGCUUUA